UUCUCAACCCACCUCUAAGCCCUCACGCCUCUUCUUCCUUGCAGAAAACAGAGGCUAGCUCUGCCACCCUUUUCCACCGUCGCAGAAGACAUAGAAUCUUUCACCUUCUUCUAGCAGCAAAGGCCGAAUGACCCAAUCGUUCCAACAGCCACUCUUAAUCAUAAGGGUUUCAAAAUUGCAAAAGGCCUAACAAUCGAAGGGGUAAAUUACAAAUCUGGAGUCGGCUUGCGGUCUGAAUCGCUGUGGAAAAUACAGGCAGUUACAUGGAUAAGUCUUGGAUUCAUCAUCACACUAGGGGUAGUGUAAAGUAUUUUGAUGGCAUACACGACUUCAUUGAUGUGGCUAGGCGUUAUGCAGAAGUAGACGGUAGGUCCUGAUGUCCAUGUCGUCAUUGCAAAAAUAAGACUUAUCGACAAAUUGAAGAAGUUAAGCAGCAUCUCUUGAGUUAUGGGAUGGACAAGGGGUAUACCAAUUGGAUAUAUCAUGGGGAGGAUCGUCAAAACAACAAUAAUGUUAAUAUUGAUGCUAAUGUUAGUGGGGAAAAUGUCCACGAUGAAGAUGGAAAUGUAGAUAAUGUGUUUGAAUUGUUGGAUAACAUACAAAUGGGAAACUUCACUAAUGCACAACAACAAGAAGAUUCCCCUGAAGUUGAUGUUGGAGGAGGAAGCUUUGAUAGAUUGUUAAAUGAUGCACAAUGUGAAUUAUGGCCAGGUUGUAAAAAAUACUCUAAGUUGUCAGCGAUAUUAAAGUUGUUCCAUGUGAAGGUUACAAGCCGAAUGAGCAACAAAUCAUUUGACAUGAUGCUUGAUGCAUUUAAGGAUAUGCUCCCCGACGACAAUGUGUUACCAAAGUCUCAUUACGAGACUGAAAGCUUGUUACGAGACUUGUGUCUCGGAUAUGAUUGUAUACAUGCAUGUAAACAUGAUUGUGUUCUAUUUUGGAAGGAGAAUGUAGGUAAAGAAAAUUGUCCACAGUGUGGUGAAUCGAGGUAUAAACCUCACGAAGGUAAGGGUAAGAAAAUCCCUCAAAAGGUUCUUCGGCACUUCCCUUUGAAAUCAAGACUUCAACGGUUGUUUAUGUCAAAGGAUACAGCCUUAGACAUGCGGUGGCAUAAGGAGAAACGUGUGAAGGAGACAAAUGAGUUAAGACAUCCAGCUGACUCAAAAGCUUGGGAGGAUUUUGAUAGUAAGCAUAGUUGGUUUGCUGCUGAUCCUCGUAAUGUUCGUGUUGGAUUAGCAACUGAUGGAUUCAAUCCAUUUGGUAACAUGAGCAAUACGUAUAGUAUGUGGCCUGUGAUGAUUGUGCCUUACAAUUUGCUACCUUGGAUAUGUAUGAAGGAGCCAUAUAUAUUUAUGUCGUUGCUUAUUCCUGGUCCAACAUCGCCUGGUAAUGAUAUUUAUGUGUACAUGCAACCUUUGGUUGAAGAGUUAAAAGAAUUAUGGCGGGAUGGUGUGAUGACGUAUGACGCCUACAGUAAAUGUAACUUUAAAAUGCAUGCGGCAAUGAUUUGGACCAUUAGUGAUUUUCCCGCUUAUGCGAUGGUAUCUGAAUGGAUGACAAAGGGUUAUCUAGCAUGUCCAAAUUGUAACAAAGAAACAUGUUCUUGUUAUUUGGAACACGGGCGUAAGAUAUGUUACUUGGGAAGUUGUAUGUUUUUAUCGUUAGAUCACAUUUUUAAAAAACAUCACAAGCAAUUUAAUGGCAAAAGUGAAGACAAAGGGCCACCAAAGCAGUUGACGGGUGAUGAUAUUCUGGAACAGCUUAACCUCAUACCCGAGGUUAGUUUCGGAAAGGGACCAAAUAAAAAGAAGCGAACUCGUGAGGAAUUUGAACUUAACUGGAUGAAGAAGAGUAUUUUUUUUGAACUACCUUAUUGGCAGACCCUUUUGUUGCGGCACAACCUGGAUGUUAUGUAUAUAGAGAAAAAUAUAUGCGAUAGUGUGUUGGGGACAUUAUUGGACAUUGAAGGGAAAACUAAGGACACGUUCAAAAGUCGGUUGGAUUUAGAAGCAAUGGGGAUUAGAAAAGAACUCCACCUGAGGCGUAAUGGUGAAAAAUUUGAGAUGCCACAAGCGCAUUACACAUUCUCAAAGAAUGAUAAAAGGCAACUAUGUGAAUGGCUAAGAUCAGUUAAGUUUCCAGAUAGCUAUGCAUCGAACAUAAGUCGGUGUGUGAAUGUUAAUAAUUGUAAGAUAUCUGGAUUGAAAAGUCAUGAUUCACACGUUCUCUUACAACAUCUCCUCCCUAUUGCUAUACGAGGAUUCUUAAAUUCAGAUAUUUGUAACACAAUAGCUGAGCUUGGUUUAUUCUUCAAAGAAUUGUGUUGUCGAGUUAAAGUGGAUGUCUUAGAGGCAAUGGAAAGGGACAUUGCUGUUAUACUAAGCAAGUUAUAGAUGAUAUUUCCUCCAUCAUUUUUUAACAUUAUGGUGCACUUGGCUCUGCAUUUGCCGUGUGAAGCCAUCAUCGCAAGCCCUGCACAAUAUCGAUGGAUGUACCUGAUUGAAAGAUUUUUGCAUACUCUCAAAUUGUACGUCCGUAACAAAGCACGUCCGGAAGGGUCCAUUGCAGAAGCUUACGUGGACGAUGAAUGCCUCACAUUUUGUUCAAAAUUUCUUGGAGGGAUUGAGA
This is an RNA transcript of Cornus florida, 2628 nucleotides long. RefSeq lists it as uncharacterized. Lineage: Eukaryota; Viridiplantae; Streptophyta; Magnoliopsida; Cornales; Cornaceae. The transcript has 4 exons. The record is from RefSeq and is a predicted model, not a curated record.